Molecule: long non-coding RNA, 560 nt
Filed under: Ananas comosus (pineapple)
Lineage: Eukaryota; Viridiplantae; Streptophyta; Magnoliopsida; Poales; Bromeliaceae
Description: long non-coding RNA (ACOM_LNC037216)
Source: RNAcentral
AAAUAAAUUCAUUAAACAUUAAAUUAGACUUUAUAAAUCAGAUAUAUUUAAUAAAAUUUUGAUAUUAGAAUAUUAGUUAUCUAAUAUAAGUUGCGGUAUAUGAAGUAUUAAUAUAUACUAAGAUGCAUCUAACUGUUUAUUGUUUCUCCAAUCAAUUUAUAGACAACCCCACAUAUUCUUCAAUUUAAAAUAUAUAAUUUCUCCAACUUUAACUUUUUAGUUAAAAAGAUUAUUUAUAGAAUAGCUAUCAAAAUUAUUAAGUUUGAUUAAAUUUCUAAAUAAAAUUAUUAUAAUAAUUUAACUCUAUAAAAAUUGAAAGCUAAGAAAAUAUUAAUUAUAAAAGGUUAUUCUUAUAAUGUAUAUAAGACUAAAUAUAUUUUUUUGAAAUUUCUUUGGUUAUAAAAUUUUUAAAAUUUUAACUUUAAAUAAAUAUAUUUUUAAUUGAGUAAAAUAAUAUCUAUCCGCCGCAAAGUGCGGACCCUACACUAGUUCACAUUAUUGCCUUUCUCUCUAUCUUUCGUCAAUUUCACAGAAUUUCAUCAAAAGAGAACGUAGAUAUG